Molecule: ribosomal RNA, 257 nt
Filed under: uncultured bacterium
Lineage: Bacteria
Description: partial 16S ribosomal RNA
Rfam family: Bacterial small subunit ribosomal RNA
Source: RNAcentral
CGUAGGCGCAAGCGUUGUCCGGAAUUAUUGGGCGUAAAGAGCUCGUAGGCGGUUUGUCGCGUCUGCUGUGAAAGCCCGGGGCUUAACCCCGGGUGUGCAGUGGGUACGGGGCAGACUUGAGUGCAGUAGGGGAGGACUGGAAUUCCUGGUGUAGCGGUGAAAUAGCGCAGAUAUCAGGAGGAACACCGAUGGCGAAGGCAGGUCUCUGGGCGUGUUACUGACGCUGAGGAGCGAAAGCAUGGGGAGCGAACAGGAUU